GUAGUUAGCCGGGGCUUUCUUACAGGGUACCGUCACUUCUUCGUCCCCUGCGACAGAGGUUUACAAUCCGAAAACCUUCUUCCCUCACGCGGCGUUGCUGGGUCAGGCUUGCGCCCAUUGCCCAAUAUUCCCCACUGCUGCCUCUCGUAGGAGUCUGGACCGUGUCUCAGUUCCAGUGUGGCCGAUCAGCCUCUCAGCUCGGCUACCCAUCGUCGGCUUGGUGGGCUGUUAUCUCACCAACUACCUAAUGGGACGCGAACCCCUCUAAAAGCGAUAAAUCUUUGACCUCUUCCCGAUGCCGGGUUGUGGUCUUAUGCGGUAUUAGCAGUUGUUUCCACCUGUUAUUCCCCACUCUUAGGCAGGUUGUUCACGCGUUACUCACCCGUGCGCCACUAGAAUUAUCAAUUCCAUCCGAAAACUUCCUUAAUAAUCCCCGUUCGACUUGCAUGUGUUAGGCACGCCGCCAGCGUUCGUCCUGAGCCAGGAUCAAACUCUGA
RNAcentral lists this ribosomal RNA (497 nucleotides) under uncultured bacterium. RNAcentral's name for it is "partial 16S ribosomal RNA". The record is from RNAcentral.